RNAcentral lists this ribosomal RNA (492 nucleotides) under uncultured bacterium. Its description in RNAcentral is "partial 16S ribosomal RNA". It matches the Rfam family "Bacterial small subunit ribosomal RNA", at positions 29 to 507 of the family's 1533-position model. The record is from RNAcentral.
AGUGAACGCUGGCGGUAGGCCUAACACAUGCAAGUCGAACGGCAGCACAGUAAGAGCUUGCUCUUACGGGUGGCGAGUGGCGGACGGGUGAGGAAUACAUCGGAAUCUACUUUUUCGUGGGGGAUAACGUAGGGAAACUUACGCUAAUACCGCAUACGACCUACGGGUGAAGGCAGGGGAUCUUCGGACCUUGCGCGAUUGAAUGAGCCGAUGUCGGAUUAGCUAGUUGGCGGGGUAAAGGCCCACCAAGGCGACGAUCCGUAGCUGGUCUGAGAGGAUGAUCAGCCACACUGGAACUGAGACACGGUCCAGACUCCUACGGGAGGCAGCAGUGGGGAAUAUUGGACAAUGGGCGCAAGCCUGAUCCAGCCAUACUGCGUGGGUGAAGAAGGCCUUCGGGUUGUAAAGCCCUUUUGUUGGGAAAGAAAAGCAGCAGGUUAAUACCCCGCUGUUCUGACGGUACCCAAAGAAUAAGCACCGGCUAACUUCGUG